GUUUUAUGGCUAUGCUUCACUAUUUUGUGCCUGCCUUAGCCUUACACGAAAUGCAUAUAUAUAAAGGGAGCUGCCAAUGGCAGUUACAAAGGGACAACUACAAAGGGGGAUCAUGUCUUCAGCCCACUCGCCCAUGAUCUUUGAUCAUGUCUUCAGUCACUUGCCCACGUUCUUGGCCAUGCCUUCAGCCACUUGCCCACGUUCUUGGCCAUGCCUUCAGCCAUUUGCCCAUGAUCUCGGCCAUGCCUUCAGCCACUUGCCCAUGAUCUCGGCCAUGCCUUCAGCCACUUGCCCACGUUCUUGAACCUGCCCAUGAUUCUCGGAUGUGGCUGCUUUGGAUGCAGCUUCAUCAUGUGCCGCGCCCCAGCUUUGUCAUGUGCCGCGCACACAGCUUCGUCACA
RNAcentral lists this long non-coding RNA (401 nucleotides) under Nicotiana benthamiana. RNAcentral's name for it is "long non-coding RNA (NBEN_LNC020857)". The record is from RNAcentral. Lineage: Eukaryota; Viridiplantae; Streptophyta; Magnoliopsida; Solanales; Solanaceae.